CCCGCGGGAGUCGCGGAGCUGCGGGUCUGACCCAGGUUGAAAGGGCCCCAGGUUCCGUGGGGAAUCCGUGCGGGAACGACGCCUAAGCCCAGCAAACGAGCUGGGCGGUGGCGUGCGGCGCCGUUAAGGGCGCUGCCGCGCGCGCUCUCAGGCCGCCCCGAGUCCUGGGGGGACUUCGAAGGAGGAUCCGCGCCUGGGGCCAGAGAACGGGGCAGACGGGGGCACUGCCGGAGGCCGAGCCGACGCAGUGUCUCCAGUCGUAGGUUGGUGCCUGGGGUCGGGGACCGAGGUUUGGGCGCUGCCUGCCUGAGCGGAGAUCCGGGUUUGCCUCCGCCCCCGCUCAGGACCCUGACGCGGGUGAGGCGGCCCCGGGAGCAUGAGCGGGCAGCGCGUGGACGUCAAGGUGGUGAUGCUGGGCAAGGAGUACGUGGGCAAGACGAGCCUGGUGGAACGAUACGUGCACGACCGCUUCCUGGUGGGGCCCUAUCAGAACACCAUCGGGGCCGCCUUCGUGGCCAAGGUGAUGUCCGUUGGAGACCGGACGGUGACUUUAGGUAUUUGGGACACAGCAGGCUCUGAGCGCUACGAGGCGAUGAGCCGAAUCUACUACCGGGGUGCCAAAGCUGCCAUCGUCUGCUAUGACCUGACGGACAGCAGCAGCUUUGAGCGGGCAAAGUUCUGGGUGAAGGAACUGCGCAACCUAGAGGAGGGCUGUCAGAUCUACCUGUGCGGCACCAAGAGUGAUCUGCUGGAGGAGGACAGGCGGCGUCGACGUGUGGACUUCCACGACGUCCAGGACUAUGCAGACAAUAUCAAAGCUCAGCUCUUUGAAACAUCCAGCAAGACAGGCCAGAGUGUGGACGAGCUCUUCCAGAAAGUGGCAGAGGAUUACGUCAGUGUGGCUGCCUUCCAGGUGAUGACAGGGGAAGCUGCCAGGACCAGACUUCCUUCCUGCCAUUCUGUUCUCAUGAUGUGACGUGGGAGUCCAGCUCCAGUAAGUAGAUGCUGCUGAGCCUGGAAAAGGAUCGCUGAUGCACUUCGUGCCCUGACUGUAGUGUGGGGUAGAGAAUGUGAAGAUAAAAUAAUUAUUUCCAUCAAUGCUAAAGAUGCAGAUUUGGUAGUUUUUCAUUAGAGGAUCAACACAGUGAUUUAAAUCACCUCAAACUCAGUAACUUCAGGGGGAAGCAGACAUUUAAAAACCUGGGAUGCUUCUGUAGCAAUGACAGCUAUUUUGCUAUUACAAUGGGUUUGCUCCAGGAGAAGCAAAUGAGGCUUUGAAUUCAAAUUUCAACAGUUUUUCUGACUUAACAGGGCUAGGAGACAUAUUGGUUCUUUAGCUACCUAUGGAAGCCAGCCAUGGCUUCCCCCUCUGAAACAUUUCCUGAGGACUGGCUUAGAGGCAGACGCUUUUGAGAUCCUGAUUUCCAGGCCCUUGGCCAAAUACCAAAAUACCAUCCUGCACAAAGAUCAGGAGUUUCUAAGAGAAAAGCUUUCAACUGCCAAUUCACGCCCUCUGGAAAAAAGGUCUCAGUACAAGACUCCACGAGAGUCCCCAAGGGCUGGCAAGGUCACUCCCUCACCACUGUCCUUCAUGCAAGGGUCUCAAUUUCCCAACAGUCCAGUCCUUCUAACUCUGCUUCUAAUUGUAUGGUGACUGCUUUCAUGAUGUUAACAAUCUGGUAUCAGAUGCUGCUAUCAGUGGACCUGAUAGCUCAAUUUCUAGUUUCCAUUCCACCUAAGAGUCUUUCAGUAACCCUCACAAAAGCCUGGCUGUCCAUCCAUUUAGAUAAAGAACUGUCACCAUCCCCCACCCCAAGCACAACUCAAAAGUUGUUUUCCCAGGCAAGUCUGGAAGGAAGUUUCCAGUAAAUGGUGGAGAAUGGAAAGAACCAAAACAAAAUCACAAAGUGGCCAAUCAUGGCCCACCUUUCCCUUAACUCCUUGUCCUAGAGCGGCUGUCAAGUCAAUUACCUACCAAAGCCUACUUCAGAGAAGCUAUUUAAGGAUCAAACUUCUCCACUUAAAAUUUUUUUACAUAGCCUGCACAUACCCCGCCCCCCCCCAAAUUCACAGUUUAUUUCAUGAAACAAAGAGCUACGGUAAUUUAACACACAACAUAGUGAAAGGAGAUUCUGACAGUGCAGUGCGAAUAUCUUUUUCUGAUCACAACUACUGAUGACAGGAGAGAAAAGGGCACAGGACUGGCACCAAGCAAACCCUACUCAUACAGCCUAAGAGAUUAGGGAAAGGGACCUACUAGCUGCAGUUAUAUACUUAUUAUUCUCACACAUGAUAAAUACUUAAUAUAGUGAACUUUAAUGUUCUGGGUGGAUUUCUUUAAAAAUAUCUUUUCCAUGGUUUAAAAUUUUUUUUAAAAGAAAAUAAGAUGCUUUGUUUUCUCUUCCUUUUGAAUAAAGAGCAUUUCCUCUCUCAUGAUGUGGGAAGAGAGGAUGAAAAGGGGAGAACUAGGCAGGUGGAAUUUACAGAGGAGAUUCCGAGGUCUAAGUGAGAUGCAGAGGUAUGCCCCUAAACUUGGGACAGCCCUGCCCAGCCUCGUACCUCUGCCUGAGUUCAAGUGUCUCAUCCCGAGACAGACUUUGGGAAAUAGAUGCAAAUUCUUCUUUUAAUCUUUAUAUAAAGCGCAAAUGCUUCUGUAACUAUUGUUCCCUCCUUAGAAAUGAUAUGGGUAACCUCAAUAGGAACUUAGGAGGAGGAAAUUGGGACAAAAUACAGAAUCCUGUUGAGGGUGUAAAAGCCAUAACUGAGACAGAAUGGCCGGGAGACAUUUGGGCCAGGAGAUGGCCUGUUGGCUAAAGCUGCUGGCUAAGUUGGCAAAGCAGAGAGGUAAACGUUUGGUCUAGGGACAAAGGAGGAGUGAGUGAAUGGGAAGGAACUGGCCAAACAGCACUUCCUGUUGGCAGUUGGUGAGCUGGGUGAAUAGUAGGGCAGGGUAGCACCAACAGAUUUCCCAGCCCUUGGGCCCCAGCUCAGGGCAGCAGUAACAGAUAAUCAGCAGUUAUGAGGAAUCAUCUCUCAGACUGGACAUUGCUCUAAACACCAUAUCUUGCCAGUCAUAGGGGAAGGGUUCUGGCUUGCCUUUGAACUAAGUCAGCAGGCAGGUGCUCUCAAUAUAGAACACAGCAAUUCUCAGGGAUAGGGUGGUAGAAUCUACCAGUGAAGGAGAGGACUCCCUCCAUUCAGGUAGGAGGGCAAAGGAUCAAAAGAGAAGUAAUUUUCUAUCAGGAUCUGGCACUCUCCCUGAGCCGGCGGUAGAUCUAGCCCAGAGCUUGCCAGAGAUUCCCUAUGUCCACUGCCCGACUCUGAAAUCUGAAAGCACCUGAGUGUUUGGGGGGCAGGCAUGGGGUGGGUUGAUGUAAAAGGAGGAAAAUCAGUAGAAGAGAAAGGUAAGCUUGCCAAUUGCCUUCUUAUACUCUGGGAAAGCUAUGUCCUUGUAGAGCUCAGCCCCCACAACCAGCUACUCUGCCAAGGACAGAUCUUUAGAUUCUGCCCAGCCAACAGCUCCACAUGGCCUUGAUGCAACCCCCUCUCACCUAUAGAGGAGACCUCCACAUAAGGGUGUGUGCAUAAAUGUGCACACUCAACCAGGAGACACUUACUCAACACAACCACUUCUGGGGCCACAGAGGACAUUACAAAAUGAGUCUGUGGAGCCCCAGGGCCCCUCAGAACUUCCUGUUAUUUCCUGGUCAAAGGUUCAUGAAAACAGCCUGGGAACCCAGGCAGGCAUGUUAGGCUCACAGGGAUCAGGUCUUCUUUAUCUCUGUAUCUCCUGUCAGUGACUAGCACCUGGCCUAGCACAUGUGAAUGCUCAAGAAAUCACCACUGAUAUGAAUAGAUGUCAGUUCCUCCCAAGUGUUCAUCAGGGCCCUCAAUGGGGCUCCAUAGAACUAGAGAAAUAGCUUCAAGAGGCCCUCUAGCUUCCAACCUAACCAGUGGAAUUGAAUCCCAUGCUUGACUCCAGAGUGGACUUUUUAUUUCAAGUUACCAUGUGUAAAGGUUGGAGGAAAAAGACCCAAGUCUGUCUGUCUCCUUGGUUGGGGCCCACUUGGAUUUCCAUACAUGGUUUACACAACCACAUGCCCCCACUGGCUAAUGUCACAAGAGUUCUGAGUGUUGGGAUAUAAGGAAAGAAUAACAGUGGGAAAGUGUUGGGGUCUGUUUUUUUAAGAGGGGAAAAGAAAGAUGAUUUCCCUUCCCCAAGAACCCUGGGGGCAGCUGGUCUGGUCAUGUGACAUUUACUCGUAUUAUUUCUGUUCUGACUCUGCACACUUGUGACUGGAAGGAGCCUGGUUAAGAGCUGGAAGUGUAUUUUGCUCUGGUUUAGGGUCUUGCCCUCUUCCAAGAGACCAGCAAGUCUGUGCCAAUGUCUGUGUGCUCCCAGAGGACCAGCAAGACGGUGAUAUUGUCUGUCCAGCCACUAUGGGCCAGAGCCCUGGCCCUGGUGAGGCCUUUCCCAGGGCCCAGGGACUCUGCUCUGCGGUUGCCAACUUCUUCUCUUCAGUACAGAGGGAGGAUGGGGCCUUCCCAAGAGGCCUGAAGGAUUGCCCAUUCUUGGCAGCAAGUCCAGGUAGUUGCUGGCCUCCAGCCAUCUGCUUCACCUGCUUCAUCAGGCCCGGUGCUUGACUGGGAGGCCCUGGUGUCUGCUCCACCCCUGCAGAUGCUCUUCCUGAGGCCGGAGUUGUUGGCUCAUAUAAAAAAGCCUUGGCAGGAGCCUGAGAGAGAAGUCUGGCCUGGGUGAGUGAUUUAACCGCUUGCCAGGGGUGCUCCGAAGGGACUGCUGCUUUCCCUGGUGGCUGCAGGAUAGGAUCUGCCACACUGCCUCUCUCUACAGCUCUCGGCAUCUGCCCUAGACCUUUGCUGGCAGUCCAUGAGCUUGAUUCCAACACCGGCAUCUUCUCAUCAAUCUGUGAUGUGACCUCAUGAGGUGAAGCAGCCCGUUCUUUCUGGUGAGGAGUUAGGUCCAUGAGAUCCAUUACCAAAGCAGCUCUAUUUUUUGACUGAGUAUUCUGGUCCACGGGCCUCAGUGCUUUUUCUUUAGCUACCAGGGUCUGGACCACAGCUGAUAGUACUUUGUCAGGAGGUGGGAGUCUCUGGGACAAAGAAGCAUGGGAUUUGUCUGGGGGCCUGUCUGAAGUCUGGGGUUUGGGACCACUGGUGACUAGCAGUCUGUCUGGAGGUGGAAGUCUUAGACCAGUAGGGACUGGGGCUUUCUCCAGUGACUGGGGCCUUGGGCUGGCAGCACCUAUGGAUUUAUCCAGCCUUGGGUCAGCUGUCCCCAGAGGUCUUUCCAGUGGUUGGGACCUGACUGAGGGUGAGGAGCUUAUGCCGGUCACUGGAGAGGGUUUGUCAGAUAGUUGGGGUCUUGGUCCUGCCACUGCAGGUGGCCUGUCCAGUGGCUUCUGGCUGGAUACCAAGGAUUGGGGUUUGGUCCCCGACCCAGCAAGGUCCCUGACCCUAUCUACAGGCUGGGGCCUGGAGUCAGUUCUGUCAGGAGGUCUUUCAGGCAGCGGUGGCCUCUGACAAGUUCCUGCCAGAGCUUUUUUGGACAGUGACAGUGUCUGGUUGGUGUCAGCAGGCAGCUUAUCCAACAUCUUGGGCCCCUGAGCAGCCACUCCUGAUGAAUGCUCUGCCAGGUGAGUGCCUGGGCCUGGAGGCAGCGGUACUGGGGGAGGCACAUACUCACGGAUCUCCCCAGGUUCCAGAGGGUUGGGCCCGCAGGGGUCAUGCUCAGUACAAGACAAACGCCCAUCCAACUUGGAGAUGAAGAGCAUCCCUUCCCGAUGCUGCUUACAAAAGGAACUGGGACACAUCUCACAGAAGGAGGCUGCUUCCUUCCCACAGAUGUCACACUGAUGCCAAGGACACUCCCAUUUCCCUGAAAACACAGAUGUGAAACAAACCCUUAGGAAAAUAAGCAAGAAAGGAAACAUGGUUUAGUGGCCUUGAGGUCAGAAAACCUGGCUUUCAAUCCAGCUCCUCCAUCUAUAUGCUCUAUUGUGACAAUUCAUCUCACCAAACUGGACUCUCAGUUUCCUCAUCUGCAUCAUGGGAAGAAUGAGAACAUGAACCAUACCCCCUCAACGCUAUGCUUGGGAAGACCAAGGGGCUGUUACAAUUACGGCAGAGAACAAAGAGCACCCUAAAUGGAUUUUAGCACCAACCUGCUGGUCGCUUGGUUAGAUUGAGACAGUCAGCGUGGUAAACUUUUGGGCAGCCUGGCUUCUUGCAAGAGACGAGCUGGCCAGCAUCCCCACAGCUGAAACACUCAUCCUCUCUUUCCUUUGUGAUUUCACCCUGGGUCCUGCGCUUCCCCUGUUGCUUCUUCUUGAAUUUCUUUGACUUUUCUUCCGUGGCAAUGGGUUGAUUCUAGAGGUCAGAUAUUGAGCAGUCAGCAUUCUGUCGAUACAUUAGUUGUAUGAUCUUGACCAGGUUAACUAUUCUCUCUGAGCCUCAGUCUCUCCUCUGGGAAGAGACAAUCCUCAUAGACUGUUGUAAAGAUAAGAGAAAAUACAGAAAAGGCACCUGGCACAUCAUAGGUACCCAAUAAAUAGUUGCAUUAAUUCUAACUUUUCUAUGAACUACUCCUGCCACCUGCAUGAAAUAAGAGAAAUAAACUUUUUUGUUAACAUACAA
Molecule: RNA transcript, 6654 nt
Organism: Felis catus (domestic cat)
Lineage: Eukaryota; Metazoa; Chordata; Mammalia; Carnivora; Felidae
Gene: RAB24
Gene name: RAB24, member RAS oncogene family
Exons: 10
Source: RefSeq, a predicted model, not a curated record